GCUUACACAUGCAAGUCGAGUGCGCGCUUGUAGCAAUACAAGUGGCGCACGGCGCACGGGUGCGUAACACGUGGGUAACCUGCCCUUUGGUGGGGAAUAACCUCGCGAAAGCGAGGCUAAUUCCGCAUAAGAUCCGCAAGGAUGAAAGCCGCAAGGCGCCGAAGGAGGGGCCCGCGCACGAUUAGUUAGUUGGUAUGGUAACGGCCUACCAAGACUAUGAUCGUCAGCUGGUCUGAAAGGAUGGCCAGCCACACUGGAACUGACACACGGCCCAGACUCCUACGGGAGGCAGCAGUGGGGAAUCUUGC
Molecule: ribosomal RNA, 308 nt
Filed under: uncultured bacterium
Lineage: Bacteria
Description: bacterial SSU rRNA
Rfam family: Bacterial small subunit ribosomal RNA
Source: RNAcentral